Molecule: unclassified non-coding RNA, 144 nt
Filed under: fungal sp.
Lineage: Eukaryota; Fungi
Description: partial internal transcribed spacer region
Source: RNAcentral
AAGAUUCGCUCGGCGUACAUAAUGUAUUGCGCUAUCGGGAUGUAAGUCGGACUGACAGUCCGACCUACUGGAAGCCCAGCAAGCUAGAACCAAAUCAGAUACUGCGAGAGCCAAGUCCAUUAUUCAAAAAGUUGGAUGAAAGCG